RNAcentral lists this transfer RNA (63 nucleotides) under Kilauella sp. KispEL. RNAcentral's name for it is "tRNA-Gly". Lineage: Eukaryota; Metazoa; Arthropoda; Insecta; Psocodea; Elipsocidae. The record is from RNAcentral.
AUUUGCUUAAUAUACAUAGUAUAUUUGACUUCCAAUCAAAAAGACUAAUUUUUAGAGUAAAUA